Molecule: long non-coding RNA, 41201 nt
Filed under: Triticum aestivum (bread wheat)
Lineage: Eukaryota; Viridiplantae; Streptophyta; Magnoliopsida; Poales; Poaceae
Description: long non-coding RNA (TAES_LNC018894)
Source: RNAcentral
UGAAUUUGCGGUUGCAUCGUCGUGUCUAGUUGCUGGUCUUAGAGUCUAGUCUUUUAGAGUUUCGAGUUCUGGUCAUAAGUUGUCACGCCGCCGCCGCACCAUCAUCAUAGCCCCUGCCAUCUACCACCACCGCUCCGAAUCCGUAUCCAUAUACCACCACCAAUCCGUGUCCAUAUACCACCACCAAUCCAUAUCCAUAUACUACCACCACCGCUGCCAUAUACCACCACCAUAUAUCCACCACCAAUCCGAGUUCCUUGCAUAUUAGGUUUGUUUUCGAGAUCCAUCUAGAUUCCGAUUCGUGUUUCCUUGCCGGAGUAGGUUUCGGAAAAAAAAAAAAAGAGUCGGGUAGCCACGCUCCAUUUAGGCCCAAAAUUUUUCGAAAACGCGUUUUUCGAAAAAAUUUCUGGCUAUCCUAUUUUUAGGUGUUUCUGAGUGUUUUGAGACAGGUGCCAUUAUAGGAAGUUUUUUUUGACCUGUUUCCAGUUUUUGGGUCCGGGCAGUCAAAAAAAAAAUUGAUCGAAAAAAUUUCAUGCCCAUCCUGUCAGUUUGAGCUAAGAAGAGUUUUGAGACACUCGCCAUUAUAGUGAUUUUUCGCAAAAAAAAAAGCAGCGCAAAAAAAGGAGCGCAAAAAAAAACAGCGCAAAAAAAAAAGAAGAGCGAAAAAAAAUUCAGAGUGUGCUUUUCCCUUGUUUACGUGCCGCGUCGUGAUUUUGUUGGUGUUCUAGGCUCGCGUCUCUAGCACAGUCUAGCCUAGGACCAGCACAGUACCGUCGUUGAGCGUUUAUUCAACUUUGCAUCUCUGAAUUGAUUAUUGCUGACCCUUUUUGCUACCAUACUAUAAGCCUUCCCAGCUCCACAUACAUCUACGUCGUGUGUUUGACUCUCCCUGGUAAUCGCUCUAUCCAAGCUUUGAGAGUUUUUGACUACAACGGUUGCCGAUCACCGCCUGCUGCUGGGUAAGAACUGGUAAGAAUUUGAGAUUUGCUUGACGGAUUUGUGAUACACCACCACCACUUCUUAGUAGUCUGUAGGAUCAUAUUCUUGUGUGUUUCUAUUGCUGCUAACCAUGCCAGGAUCACAAGCCGACGAGAUUGACUGGGAGAACUUAUCGAACAAGGAGCUUCAUGAUAAGUUUCAGCAAAUGAUGACUGAACAGGUACAAGAUGUGCUGAACAAUUUUGAAGAGGCCAUGGAGAAGAUCACUGGCCUUGAGAAGACGUUCGAAACAAAGCUCGAUAACAGAUUUAAUGAACUGCUUGCGCGUCUUCCACCACCGGCUGUGAUGAGGACAUCAAUACAAUUGUUACACCCACAGCCCCUGCUGCUAUACAUACUGGACCAAUUACUAGAGCUCGUGCACGCCAACUAAAUUACCAGGUACUUUCGUUUCUUGGUAAUGAUUCUAAUGUUCAUGAGAAUAUGAUGCUGCCUAAAUUGGAUACAUUUGUUUUGCUUACAAAUGAAGGGCCUAGCUUGGAGAAGGAUGAACAUUGGAGCAAGAACAAGCAUGGAGAUGAUGGCAUGCGCAAGGGAAACAAGAACGGAGUUACAAGUGAUGAUUUCAGGACUUUGAAGCCACCAUAAUGGGUGCAUGAAGCCUUGGACGAAAUAUACAAGACGCCACUUCAUAAAUUUCGUCCCGAGGCUAUUUUAGGUGCUGCGUCACCUUAUUAUUGGGCCAGGCCCAUGUAAUUUCGAAAUACAUAAGUAUAGGCUAUUUUUAGAGUCCGUAUGUGUGGGGAAACAAGAGAUAGGGUUGAUUUCGGACCCCUCCACCAAGGGCCACGAAAUUCUCCCCCUCUUCCUCCAUAUAUACAGCCCUUAGGGCAUCGUUUAGACUUUGGGUUUUGUUUAGAUUAAAAGUUCGCCAUAGCUGCAACUUCGCGUACUUCGUUUGUGUUCAACGACCAGACAAAGGCGUCACAGAACGCCACCUUGAUCAAUAAAGCUUUCAUCUUAUAUUCGCAAUAUCCAGAUUGCAAUCUUAGUUUCUUGCUUGUUCUUCGUUUGCUCGCAGGAAACAGACCCUCGUGGUCAGGUUGAUCGUGCUCCGGCGUGGUCAAUAACCUCUCGGAGUUGGUUUAGCGAUUGCUAAGGCGCGACGUCCUCGCACGUUCGUAGUCGGAUCGUCAAAGUCGACUUCCACCAAAGCGAAAUCCACCAUCUCAUCGUAAGACGGGACACCUUUGCCUCUAUCAAGUGGUAUCAGAUUUCCAGGUUGCUCGGUGAGAUUUUACAGUUUUUCGUAGUUUAGAUCGAGUCUGUUCUUCAUACCUAUAGUCCACGAAAAAGCCAAAAAAAAAAUUAGGGUUAGUUCAUCCCAUCCGAACCAAUCUGAGCCUUGCAUAAUCUUUUCUGUAUUUGCUUUGUUGAAUUUGCGGUUGCAUCGUCGUGUUCAGUUGCUGGUCUUAGCGUCUAGUCUUUUAGAGUUUCGAGUUCUGUUCACAAGUUGUCACGCCGUCGCCGCACCAUCAUCAUCGCCCCUGCCAUCUACCACCACCGCUCCGAAUCCGUAUCCAUAUACCACCACCAAUCCGUGUCCAUAUACCACCACCGAUCCAUAUCCAUAUACUACCACUGCUGCCAUAUACCACCACCAUAUAUCCACCACCAAUCCGAGUUCCUUGCUUAUUAGGUUUGUUUUCGGGAUCAAUCUAGAUUCCGAUUCGUGUUUCCUUGCCGGAGUAGGUUUCGGAAAAAAAAAGAGUCGGGUAGCCACGCUCCGUUUAGGCCCAAAAUUUUUCGAAAACGCAUUUUUCGAAAAAAAUUCUGGCUAUCCUAUUUUUAGGUGUUUCUGAGUGUUUUGAGACAGGUGCCAUUAUAGGAAGUUUUUUUUGACCCGUUUCCAGUUUUUGGGUCCGGGCAGUCGAAAAAAAAAAUUGGUCGAAAAAAUUUCGUGCCCAUCCUGUCAGUUUGAGCUAGGAAGAGUUUUGAGACACUCGCCAUUAUAGUGAUUUUUCGCAAAAAAAAAGCAGCGCAAAAAAAAAGAGCGCAAAAAAAAAGAGCGAAAAAAAAAUUCAGAGUGUGCUUUUCCCUUGUUUACGUGCCGCGCCGUGAUUUUGUUAGUGUUCUAGGCUCGCGUCUCUAGCACAGUCUAGCCUAGGACCAGCACAGUACCGUCGUUGAGCGUUUAUUCAACUUUGCAUCUCUGAAUUGAUUAUUGCUGACCCUUUUUGCUACCAUAUUAUAAGCCUUCCCAGCUCCACAUACAUCUACGUCGUGCGUUUGACUCUCCCUGGUAAUCGCUCUAUCCAAGCUUUGAGAGUUUUUGACUACAACGGUUGCCGAUCACCGCCUGCUGCUGGGUAAGAACUGGUAAGAAUUUGAGAUUUGCUUGACGGAUUUGUGACACCCACCACCACCUGAUGAGGACAUCAAUACAAUUGUUACACCCACAGCCCCUGCUGCUAUACAUACUGGACCAGUUACUAGAGCUCGUGCACGCCAACUAAAUUACCAGGUACUUUCGUUUCUUGGUAAUGAUUCUAAUGUUCAUGAGAAUAUGAUGCUGCCUAAAUUGGAUACAUUUGUUUUGCUUACAAAUGAAGGGCCUAGCUUGGAGAAGGAUGAACAUUGGAGCAAGAACAAGCAUGGAGAUGAUGGCAUGCGCAAGGGGAACAAGAACGGAGUUACAAGUGAUGAUUUCAGGACUUUGAAGCCACCAUAAUGGGUGCAUGAAGCCUUGGACGAAAUAUACAAGAUGCCACUUCAUAAAUUUCGUCCCGAGGCUAUUUUAGGUGCUGCGUCACCUUAUUAUUGGGCCAGGCCCAUGUAAUUUCGAAAUACAUAAGUAUAGGCUAUUUUUAGAGUCCGUAUGUGUGGUGAAACAAGAGAUAGGGUUGAUUUCGGACCCCUCCACCAAGGGCCACGAAAUUCCCCCCUCUUCCUCCAUAUAUACAGCCCUUAGGGCAUCGUUUAGACUUUGGGUUUUGUUUAGAUUAAAAGUUCGCCAUAGCUGCAACUUCGCGUACUUCGUUUGUGUUCAACGACCAGACAAAGGCGUCACAGAACCCCACCUUGAUCAAUAAAGCUUUCAUCUUAUAUUCGCAAUAUCCAGAUUGCAAUCUCAGUUUCUUGCUUGUUCUUCGUUUGCUCGCAGGAAACAGACCCUCGUGGUCAGGUUGAUCGUGCUCCGGCGUGGUCAAUAACCUCUCGGAGUUGGUUUAGCGAUUGCUAAGGCGCGACGUCCUCGCACGUUCGUAGUCGGAUCGUCAAAGUCGACUUCCACCAAAGCGAAAUCCACCAUCUCAUCGAAAGACGGGACACCUUUGCCUCUAUCAACUUGUCACCCCCAAACUGAUGGACAAACUGAAGUAGUCAAUAGGACGUUGUCUACUAUGCUUAGGGCUGUUUUGAAGAAUAAUAAGAAAAUGUGGGAGGAAUGCUUGCCUCAUAUUGAAUUUGCUUAUAAUCGUUCAUUGCAUUCUACUACUAAGAUGUGCCCUUUUGAAGUUGUGUAUGGUUUCCUACCUCGUGCACCUAUUGAUUUGUUGCCUCUUCCAUCUUCGGAGAAGGUUAAUUUUGAUGCUAAACAACGUGCUGAAUUGAUUUUAAAAAUGCAUGAGUUAACUAAGGAAAACAUUGAGCGUAUGAAUGCUAAAUAUAAACUUGCUGGAGAUAAGGGUAGAAAACAUGUUGUGUUUGCACCUGGAGAUCUUGUUUGGUUACAUUUGCGUAAGGAUAGAUUUCCUGAUUUGCGCAAAUCAAAGCUAAUGCCACGUGCUGAUGGUCCCAUUAAGGUGUUAGAGAAAAUAAAUGAUAAUGCAUAUAAACUUGAGCUGCCUGCAGAUUUUGGGGUUAGUCCCACUUUUAACAUUGCAGAUUUGAAGCCUUAUUUGGGUGAGGAAGAUGAACUUCCGUCGAGGACGACUUCAUUUCAAGAAGGGGAGGAUGAUGAGGACAUCAAUACAAUUGUUACACCCACAGCCCCUGCUGCUAUACAUACUGGACCAAUUACUAGAGCUCGUGCACGCCAACUAACUUACCAGGUACUUUCGUUUCUUGGUAAUGAUUCUAAUGUUCAUGAGAAUAUGAUGCUGCCUAAAUUGGAUACAUUUGUUUUGCUUACAAAUGAAGGGCCUAGCUUGGAGAAGGAUGAACAUUGGAGCAAGAACAAGCAUGGAGAUGAUGGCAUGCGCAAGGGGAACAAGAACGGAGUUACAAGUGAUGAUUUCAGGACUUUGAAGCCACCAUAAUGGGUGCAUGAAGCCUUGGACGAAAUAUACAAGAUGCCACUUCAUAAAUUUCGUCCCGAGGCUAUUUUAGGUGCUGCGUCACCUUAUUAUUGGGCCAGGUCCAUGUAAUUUCGAAAUACAUAAGUAUAGGCUAUUUUUAGAGUCCGUAUGUGUGGGGAAACAAGAGAUAGGGUUGAUUUUGGACCCCUCCACCAAGGGCCACGAAAUUCCCCCCUCUUCCUCCAUAUAUACAGCCCUUAGGGCAUCGUUUAGACUUUGGGUUUUGUUUAGAUUAAAAGUUCGCCAUAGCUGCAACUUCGCGUACUUCGUUUGUGUUCAACGACCAGACAAAGGCGUCACAGAACCCCACCUUGAUCAAUAAAGCUUUCAUCUUAUAUUCGCAAUAUCCAGAUUGCAAUCUCAGUUUCUUGCUUGUUCUUCGUUUGCUCGCAGGAAACAGACCCUCGUGGUCAGGUUGAUCGUGCUCCGGCGUGGUCAAUAACCUCUCGGAGUUGGUUUAGCGAUUGCUAAGGCGCGACGUCCUCGCACGUUCGUAGUCGGAUCGUCAAAGUCGACUUCCACCAAAGCGAUAUCCAUCAUCUCAUCGAAAGACGGGACACCUUUGCCUCUAUCACAUAUGCUGAUUAUGUUGAUUGUGAUGUGGUACCUAUGCAAGCAUGUUCCUUAUUACUUGGUAGACCAUGGCAAUUUGAUAAAAAUUCUGUACACCAUGGUAGAAACAAUCACUAUACUCUUGUUCAUAAGGAUAAAAAUAUUACUUUGCUUCCUAUGACUCCUGAUUCCAUUUUGAAAGAUGAUAUUAAUAGAGCUAAUAAAGCACAACAGGAGAAGAAUAAGAGUGAAAAUCAGAUUGUGGCAAAAGAAUUUGAGCAACAAAUGAAGCCUAAUAAUAAACCAUCUAGUGUUGCUUCUGAAAUUAAAUUGAAAAGUGCAUGUUUACUUGCCACCAAAUCUGAUAUUGAUGAUCUAGAUUUUAGCAAAUCUGUUUGCUAUGCUUUUGUGUGCAAAGAGGCAUUAUUUUCAUUCGAGGACGUGCCUUCCUCUUUGCCUCCUGCUGUCACUAACAUUUUGCAGGAGUUCGCUGACGUUUUUCCACAAGACGUGCCACCGGGAUUACCGCCUAUUCGAGGGAUUGAGCAUCAGAUUGACUUAAUUCCCGGUGCUUCACUGCCAAACCGUGCACCAUACCGUACCAAUCCAGAAGAGACGAAGGAGAUUAUGCAUCAAGUACAAGAGCUUCUCGACAAAGGUUAUAUACGCGAAUCCGUUAGUCCUUGUGCUGUUCCUAUUAUUCUAGUGCCGAAAAAGGAUGGUACAUCACGUAUGUGUGUUGAUUGUAGAGGCAUUAAUAAUAUUACUAUUCGUUAUCGUCAUCCUAUUCCUAGGCUAGAUGAUAUGCUUGAUGAAUUGAGUGGCUCUACAAUAUUCUCCAAAGUUGAUUUGCGUAGUGGCUACCAUCAAAUUCGUAUGAAAUUGGGAGAUGAAUGGAAAACAGCAUUUAAAACUAAGUUUGGAUUAUAUGAGUGGUUAGUCAUGCCUUUUGGGUUAACUAAUGCACCUAGUACUUUCAUGAGAUUAAUGAACGAAGUUUUACGUGCUUUCAUUGGACGAUUUGUGGUAGUUUACUUUGAUGACAUAUUAAUUUAUAGCAGAUCUUUGGAGGAACAUUUGGAACAUUUGCGUGCUGUUUUUAUUGCUCUACGUGAUGCACGUUUGUUUGGUAACCUUGGGAAGUGCACCUUUUGCACCGACCGAGUAUCUUUUCUUGGCUAUGUUGUUACUCCACAGGGAAUUGAAGUUGAUAAAGCCAAGAUUGAAGCUAUUGAGAGUUGGCCGCAGCCCAAAACGGUCACACAAGUGAGGAGUUUUCUUGGCCUCGCUGGAUUCUAUAGGCGUUUUGUGAGAGAUUUCAGCACCAUUGCUGCACCUCUCAAUGAGCUUACAAAGAAAGAUGUGCCUUUUCUUUGGGGUACCGCACAGGAAGAAGCCUUCAUGGUAUUGAAAGAUAAGUUGACACAUGCUCCUUUACUCCAACUUCCUGAUUUUAAUAAGACUUUUGAGCUUGAAUGUGAUGCUAGUGGAAUUGGAUUAGGAGGUGUGUUAUUACAAGAUGGCAAACCUGUUGCUUACUUUUCUGAAAAACUGAGUGGGCCUAGUCUGAAUUAUUCUACUUAUGAUAAAGAAUUAUAUGCUCUUGUUCGGACUUUAGAAACAUGGCAACAUUAUUUAUGGCCCAAAGAAUUUGUUAUACAUUCUGAUCAUGAAUCUUUGAAACAUAUUAAAAGUCAAGCUAAACUGAAUCGUAGAUAUGCUAAAUGGGUGGAAUUCAUUGAGACUUUCCCUUAUGUCAUUAAACACAAGAAGGGAAAAGAAAAUGUUAUUGCUGAUGCAUUGUCUCGUCGCUAUACUAUGCUUUCACAACUUGACUUCAAAAUAUUUGGUUUGGAGACCAUCAAAGAUCAAUAUGUGCAUGAUGCUGAUUUUAAAGAUGUAAUGCAGAAUUGUAAAGAAGGAAGAAUGUGGAACAAGUUUGUCGUUAACGAUGGAUUUGUGUUUCGUGCUAACAAGCUAUGCAUUCCAGCUAGCUCCGUUCGUCUUUUGUUGUUGCAGGAAGCGCAUGGAGGAGGAUUAAUGGGACAUUUUGGCGUGAAGAAGACGGAGGACGUACUUGCUACACAUUUCUUUUGGCCAAAGAUGAGACGGGAUGUUGAGCGUUUUAUUGCUCGAUGCACUACAUGUCAAAAAGCUAAGUCACGACUCAAUCCUUAUGGUUUAUAUAUGCCUUUGCCUGUACCUAGUGUUCCUUGGGAAGAUAUAUCUAUGGACUUUGUUUUAGGUUUACCUCGAACAAAGAAGGGGAGGGAUAGCAUAUUUGUUGUCGUGGAUAGAUUCUCGAAAAUGGCACACUUUAUACCAUGUCAUAAAAGCGAUGAUGCUGUUAAUGUUGCUGAUUUGUUCUUUCGUGAAAUUAUUCGCUUGCAUGGUGUGCCAAAUACUAUUGUUUCAGAUCGUGAUACUAAAUUUCUUAGCCACUUUUGGAGAUGUUUAUGGGCUAAGUUGGGGACUAAACUGCUUUUUAGUACUACUUGUCACCCCCAAACUGAUGGACAAACUGAAGUAGUCAAUAGAACGUUGUCUACUAUGCUUAGGGCUGUUUUGAAGAAUAAUAAGAAAAUAUGGGAGGAAUGCUUGCCUCAUAUUGAACUUGCUUAUAAUCGUUCAUUGCAUUCUACUACUAAGAUGUGCCCUUUUGAAGUUGUGUAUGGUUUCCUACCUCGUGCACCUAUUGAUUUGUUGCCUCUUCCAUCUUCGGAGAAGGUUAAUUUUGAUGCUAAACAACGUGCUGAAUUAAUUUCAAAAAUGCAUGAGUUAACUAAGGAAAACAUUGAGCGUAUGAAUGCUAAAUAUAAACUUGCUGGAGAUAAGGGUAGAAAACAUAUUGUGUUUGCACCUGGAGAUCUUGUUUGGUUACAUUUGCGUAAGGAUAGAUUUCCUGAUUUGCGCAAAUCAAAGCUAAUGCCACGUGCUGAUGGUCCCUUUAAGGUGUUAGAGAAAAUAAAUGAUAAUGCAUAUAAACUUGAGCUGCCUGCAGAUUUUGGGGUUAGUCCCACUUUUAACAUUGCAGAUUUGAAGCCUUAUUUGGGUGAGGAAGAUGAACUUCUGUCGAGGACGACUUCAUUUCAAGAAGGGGAGGAUGAUGAGGACAUCAAUACAAUUGUUACACCCACAGCCCCUGCUGCUAUACAUACUGGACCAAUUACUAGAGCUCGUGCACGCCAACUAAAUUACCAGGUACUUUCGUUUCUUGGUAAUGAUUCUAAUGUUCAUGAGAAUAUGAUGCUGCCUAAAUUGGAUACAUUUGUUUUGCUUACAAAUAAAGGGCCUAGCUUGGAGAAGGAUGAACAUUGGAGCAAGAACAAGCAUGGAGAUGAUGGCAUGCGCAAGGGGAACAAGAACGGAGUUACAAGUGAUGAUUUCAGGACUUUGAAGCCACCAUAAUGGGCGCAUGAAGCCUUGGACGAAAUAUACAAGAUGCCACUUCAUAAAUUUCGUCCCGAGGUUAUUAUAGGUGCUGCGUCACCUUAUUAUUGGGCCAGGCCCAUGUAAUUUCGAAAUACAUAGGUAUAGGCUAUUUUUAGAGUCCGUAUGUGUGGGGAAACAAGAGAUAGGGUUGAUUUCGGACCCCUCCACCAAGGGCCACGAAAUUCCCCCUCUCUUCCUCCACAUAUACAGCCCUUAGGGCACCGUUUAGACUUUGGGUUUUGUUUAGAUUAAAAGUUCGCCAUAGCUGCAACUUCGCGUACUUCGUUUGUGUUCAACGACCAGACAAAGGCGUCACAGAACCCCACCUUGAUCAAUAAAGCUUUCAUCUUAUAUUCGCAAUAUCCAGAUUGCAAUCUUAGUUUCUUGCUUGUUCUUCGUUUGCUCGCAGGAAACAGACCCUCGUGGUCAGGUUGAUCGUGCUCCGGCGUGGUCAAUAACCUCUCGGAGUUGGUUUAGCGAUUGCUAAGGCGCGACGUCCUCGCACGUUCGUAGUCGGAUCGUCAAAGUCGACUUCCACCAAAGCGAAAUCCACCAUCUCAUCGAAAGACGGGACACCUUUUCCCCUAUCAUUAUACCAUGUCAUAAAAGCGAUGAUGCUGUUAAUGUUGCUGAUUUGUUCUUUCGUGAAAUUAUUCGCUUGCAUGGUGUGCCAAAUACUAUUGUUUCAGAUCGUGGUACUAAAUUUCUUAGCCACUUUUGGAGAUGUUUAUGGGCUAAGUUGCGGACUAAACUGCUUUUUAGUACUACUUGUCACCCCCAAACUGAUGGACAAACUGAAGUAGUCAAUAGAACGUUGUCUACUAUGCUUAGGGCUGUUUUGAAGAAUAAUAAGAAAAUGUGGGAGGAAUGCUUGCCUCAUAUUGAAUUUGCUUAUAAUCGUUCAUUGCAUUCUACUACUAAGAUGUGCCCUUUUGAAGUUGUGUAUGGUUUCCUACCUCGUGCACCUAUUGAUUUGUUGCCUCUUCCAUCUUCGGAGAAGGUUAAUUUUGAUGCUAAACAACGUGCUGAAUUGAUUUUAAAAAUGCAUGAGUUAACUAAGGAAAACAUUGAGCGUAUGAAUGCUAAAUAUAAACUUGCUGGAGAUAAGGGUAGAAAACAUGUUGUGUUUGCACCUGGAGAUCUUGUUUGGUUACAUUUGCGUAAGGAUAGAUUUCCUGAUUUGGGCAAAUCAAAGCUAAUGCCACGUGCUGAUGGUCCCUUUAAGGUGUUAGAGAAAAUAAAUGAUAAUGCAUAUAAACUUGAGCUGCCUGCAGAUUUUGGGGUUAGUCCCACUUUUAACAUUGCAGAUUUGAAGCCUUAUUUGGGUGAGGAAGAUGAACUUCCGUCGAGGACGACUUCAUUUCAAGAAGGGGAGGAUGAUGAGGACAUCAAUACAAUUGUUACACCCACAGCCCCUGCUGCUAUACAUACUGGACCAAUUACUAGAGCUCGUGCACGCCAACUAAAUUACCAGGUACUUUCGUUUCUUGGUAAUGAUUCUAAUGUUCAUGAGAAUAUGAUGCUGCCUAAAUUGGAUACAUUUGUUUUGCUUACAAAUGAAGGGCCUAGCUUGGAGAAGGAUGAACAUUGGAGCAAGAACAAGCAUGGAGAUGAUGGCAUGCGCAAGGGGAACAAGAACGGAGUUACAAGUGAUGAUUUCAGGACUUGGAAGCCACCAUAAUGGGUGCAUGAAGCCUUGGACGAAAUAUACAAGAUGCCACUUCAUAAAUUUCGUCCCGAGGCUAUUUUAGGUGCUGCGUCACCUUAUUAUUGGGCCAGGCCCAUGUAAUUUCGAAAUACAUAAGUAUAGGCUAUUUUUAGAGUCCGUAUGUGUGGGGAAACAAGAGAUAGGGUUGAUUUCGGACCCCUCCACCAAGGGCCACGAAAUUCCCCCCCUCUUCCUCCAUAUAUACAGCCCUUAGGGCAUCGUUUAGACUUUGGGUUUUGUUUAGAUUAAAAGUUCGCCAUAGCUGCAACUUCGCGUACUUCGUUUGUGUUCAACGACCAGACAAAGGCGUCAAAGAACCCCACCUUGAUCAAUAAAGCUUUCAUCUUAUAUUCGCAAUAUCCAGAUUGCAAUCUCAGUUUCUUGCUUGUUCUUCGUUUGCUCGCAGGAAACAGACCCUCGUGGUCAGGUUGAUCGUGCUCCGGCGUGGUCAAUAACCUCUCGGAGUUGGUUUAGCGAUUGCUAAGGCGCGACGUCCUCGCACGUUCGUAGUCGGAUCGUCAAAGUCGACUUCCACCAAAGCGAUAUCCAUCAUCUCAUCGAAAGACGGGACACCUUUGCCUCUAUCAGAAAUUUUUUCGAAAAAUGCGUUUUCAAAAAAAUUUGGGCCUAAACGGAGCGUGGCUACCCGACUCCGGCAAGGAAACACGAAUCGGAAUCUAGAUGGAUCUCGAAAACAAACCUAAUAUGCAAGGAACUCGGAUUGGUGGUGGAUAUAUGGUGGUGGUAUAUGGCAGCGGUGGUGGUAGCGGUGGUAGUAUAUGGAUAUGGAUAUGAAUCGGUGGUGGUAUAUGAAUUGGUGGUGGUAUAUGGAUACGGAUUCGGAGCGGUGGCGGAUAAGCGGUGGUGGUAGAUGGCAGGGGCGAUGAUGAUGGUGCGGCGGCGGCGUGACAACUUAUGACCAGAACUCGAAACUCUAAAAGACUAGACUCUAAGACCAGCAACUAGACACGACGAUGCAACCGCAAAUUCAACAAAGCAAAACCCUAAAAAGAUUAUGCAAAGGCUCAGAUUGGUUCGGAUAUGAUGAACUAACCCUAAUUUUUUUUUUGGCUUUUUCGUGGACUGUAGGUAUGAAGAACAGACUCGAUCUAAACUACGAAAAACUGUAAAAUCUCACCGAGCAACCUGGAAAUCUGAUACCACUUGAUAGAGGCAAAGGUGUCCCGUCUUUCGAUGAGAUGGUGGAUUUCGCUUUGGUGGAAGUCGACUUUGACGAUCCGACUACGAACGUGCGAGGACGUCGCGCCUUAGCAAUCGCUAAACCAACUCCGAGAGGUUAUUGACCACGCCGGAGCACGAUCAACCUGACCACGAGGGUCUGUUUCCUGCGAGCAAACGAAGAACAAGCAAGAAACUAAGAUUGCAAUCUGGAUAUUGCGAAUAUAAGAUGAAAGCUUUAUUGAUCAAGGUGGGGUUCUGUGACGCCUUUGUCUGGUCGUUGAACACAAACGAAGUACGCGAAGUUGCAGCUAUGGCGAACUUUUAAUCUAAACAAAACCCAAAGUCUAAACGAUGCCCUAAGGGCUGUAUGUAUGGAGGAAGAGGGGGGAAUUUCGUGGCCCUUGGUGGAGGAGUCCGAAAUCAACCCUAUCUCUUGUUUCCCCACACAUACGGACUCUAAAAAUAGCCUAUACUUAUGUAUUUCGAAAUUACAUGGGCCUGGCCCAAUAAUAAGGUGACGCAGCACCUAAAAUAGCCUCGGGACGAAAUUUAUGAAGUGGCAUCUUGUAUAUUUCGUCCAAGGCUUCAUGCACCCAUUAUGGUGGCUUCAAAGUCCUGAAAUCAUCACUUGUAACUCCGUUCUUGUUCCCCUUGCGCAUGCCAUCAUCUCCAUGCUUGUUCUUGCUCCAAUGUUCAUCCUUCUCCAAGCUAGGCCCUUCAUUUGUAAGCAAAACAAAUGUAUCCAAUUUAGGCAGCAUCAUAUUCUCAUGAACAUUAGAAUCAUUACCAAGAAACGAAAGUACCUGGUAAUUUAGUUGGCGUGCACGAGCUCUAGUAAUUGGUCCAGUAUGUAUAGCAGCAGGGGCUGUGGGUGUAACAAUUGUAUUGAUGUCCUCAUCAAGUGGUAUCAGAUUUCCAGGUUGCUCGGUGAGAUUUCCAGGUUGCUCGGUGAGAUUUCCAGGGAAACAAGAACAUUAGGGUUGCUUACAAAUGAAGGGCCUAGCUUGGAGAAGGAUGAACAUUGGAGCAAGAACAAGCAUGGAGAUGAUGGCAUGCGCAAGGGAAACAAGAACGGAGUUACAAGUGAUGAUUUCAGGACUUUGAAGCCACCAUAAUGGGUGCAUGAAGCCUUGGACGAAAUAUACAAGACGCCACUUCAUAAAUUUCGUCCCGAGGCUAUUUUAGGUGCUGCGUCACCUUAUUAUUGGGCCAGGCCCAUGUAAUUUCGAAAUACAUAAGUAUAGGCUAUUUUUAGAGUCCGUAUGUGUGGGGAAACAAGAGAUAGGGUUGAUUUCGGACCCCUCCACCAAGGGCCACGAAAUUCCCCCCCCUCUUCCUCCAUAUAUACAGCCCUUAGGGCAUCGUUUAGACUUUGGGUUUUGUUUAGAUUAAAAGUUCGCCAUAGCUGCAACUUCGCGUACUUCGUUUGUGUUCAACGACCAGACAAAGGCGUCACAGAACCCCACCUUGAUCAAUAAAGCUUUCAUCUUAUAUUCGCAAUAUCCAGAUUGCAAUCUCAAUUUCUUGCUUGUUCUUCGUUUGCUCGCAGGAAACAGACCCUCGUGGUCAGGUUGAUCGUGCUCCGGCGUGGUCAAUAACCUCUCGGAGUUGGUUUAGCGAUUGCUAAGGCGCGACGUCCUCGCACGUUCGUAGUCGGAUCGUCAAAGUCGACUGCCACCAAAGCGAUAUCCAUCAUCUCAUCGAAAGACGGGACACCUUUGCCUCUAUCAAGUGGUAUCAGAUUUCCAGGUUGCUCGGUGAGAUUUUACAGUUUUUCGUAGUUUAGAUCGAGUCUGUUCUUCAUACCUACAGUCCACGAAAAAGCCACAAAAAAAAUUAGGGUUAGUUCAUCAUAUCCGAACCAAUCUGAGCCUUUGCAUAAUCUUUUUAGGGUUUUGCUUUGUUGAAUUUGCGGUUGCAUCGUCGGUCUAGUUGCUGGUCUUAGAGUCUAGUCUUUUAGAGUUUCGAGUUCUGGUCAUAAGUUGUCAUGCCGCCGCCGCACCAUCAUCAUCGCCCCUGCCAUCUACCACCACCGCUCCGAAUCCGUAUCCAUAUACCACCACCAAUCCGUGUCCAUAUACCACCACCGAUCCAUAUCCAUAUACUACCACCGCUACCACCACCGCUGCCAUAUACCACCACCAUAUAUCCACCACCAAUCCGACUUCCUUGCUUAUUAGGUUUGUUUUCGAGAUCCAUCUAGUUUCCGAUUCGUGUUUCCUUGCCGGAGUAGGUUUCGGAAAAAAAACGCAUUUUUCGAAAACGCAUUUUUCAAAAAUAAUUCUGGCUAUCCUAUUUUUAGGUGUUUCUGAGUGUUUUGAGACAGGUGCCAUUAUAGGAAGUUUUUUUUGACCCGUUUCCAGUUUUUGGGUCCGGGCAGUCGAAAAAUAAAAAAUUGGUCGAAAAAAAUUUCGUGCCCAUCCUGUCAGUUUGACCUAGGAAGAGUUUUGAGACAGUCGCCAUUAUAGUGAUUUUUCGCAAAAAAAAAGCAGCGCAAAAAAGAAAGAAAAAAAUAAAAAAAGAGCGAAAAAAAAAAUUUCAGAGUGUGCUUUUCCCUUGUUUACGUGUCGCGCCGUGAUUUUGUUGUUGUUCUAGGCUUGCGUCUCUAGCACAGUCUAGCCUAGGACCAGCACAGUACCGUCGUUGAGCGUUUAUUCAACUUUGCAUCUCUGAAUUGAUUAUUGCUAACCCUUUUUGCUACCAUAUUAUAAGCCUUCCCAGCUCCACAUACAUCUACAUCGUGCGUUUGACUCUCCUUGGUAAUCGCUCUAUCCUAGCUUUGAGAGUUUUGACUACAACGGUUGCCGAUCACCGCCUGUUGCUGGGUAAGCGAUGAGGACAUCAAUACAAUUGUUACACCCACAGCCCCUGCUGCUAUACAUACUGGACCAAUUACUAGAGCUCGUGCACGCCAACUAAAUUACCAGGUACUUUCGUUUCUUGGUAAUGAUUCUAAUGUUCAUGAGAAUAUGAUGCUGGCUAAAUUGGAUACAUUUGUUUUGCUUACAAAUGAAGGGCCUAGCUUGGAGAAGGAUGAACAUUGGAGCAAGAACAAGCAUGGAGAUGAUGGCAUGCGCAAGGGGAACAAGAACGGAGUUACAAGUGAUGAUUUCAGGACUUUGAAGCCACCAUAAUGGGUGCAUGAAGCCUUGGACGAAAUAUACAAGAUGCCACUUCAUAAAUUUCGUCCCGAGGCUAUUUUAUGUGUUGCGUCACCUUAUUAUUGGGCCAGGCCCAUGUAAUUUCGAAAUACAUAAGUAUAGGCUAUUUUUAGAGUCCGUAUGUGUGGGGAAACAAGAGAUAGGGUUGAUUUCGGACCCCUCCACCAAGGGCCACGAAAUUCCCCCCUCUUCCUCCAUAUAUACAGCCCUUAGGGCAUCGUUUAGACUUUGGGUUUUGUUUAGAUUAAAAGUUCGCCAUAGCUGCAACUUCGCGUACUUCGUUUGUGUUCAACGACCAGACAAAGGCGUCACAGAACCCCACCUUGAUCAAUAAAGCUUUUCAUCUUAUAUUCGCAAUAUCCAGAUUGCAAUCUCAGUUUCUUGCUUGUUCUUCGUUUGCUCGCAGGAAACAGACCCUCGUGGUCAGGUUGAUCGUGCUCCGGCGUGGUCAAUAACCUCUCGGAGUUGGUUUAGCGAUUGCUAAGGCGCGACGUCCUCGCACGUUCGUAGUCGGAUCGUCAAAGUCGACUUCCAACAAAGCGAUAUCCAUCAUCUCAUCGAAAGACGGGACACCUUUGCCUCUAUCAAGUGGUAUCAGUUUUCAGGUUGCUCGGUGAGAAUCUCCAGUUUUCCUAGAUUAGAUUUAUUUUCUUACCUAUUGUCCAACGACCAGACCAAGACCGCUUACGGAUCCCCACCUUUAUCAAUACCUCAAUACAAUUGUUACACCCACAGCCCCUGCUGCUAUACAUACUGGACCAAUUACUAGAGCCCGUGCACGCCAACUAAAUUACCAGGUACUUUCGUUUCUUGGUAAUGAUUCUAAUGUUCAUGAGAAUAUGAUGCUGCCUAAAUUGGAUACAUUUGUUUUGCUUACAAAUGAAGGGCCUAGCUUGGAGAAGGAUGAACAUUGGAGCAAGAACAAGCAUGGAGAUGAUGGCAUGCGCAAGGGGAACAAGAACGGAGUUACAAGUGAUGAUUUCAGGACUUUGAAGCCACCAUAAUGGGUGCAUGAAGCCUUGGACGAAAUAUACAAGAUGCCACUUCAUAAAUUUCGUCCCGAGGCUAUUUUAGGUGCUGCGUCACCUUAUUAUUGGGCCAGGCCCAUGUAAUUUCGAAAUACAUAAGUAUAGGCUAUUUUUAGAGUCCGUAUGUGUGGGGAAACAAGAGAUAGGGUUGAUUUCGGACUCCUCCACCAAGGGCCACGAAAUUCCCCCCUCUUCCUCCAUACAUACAGCCCUUAGGGCAUCGUUUAGACUUUGGGUUUUGUUUAGAUUAAAAGUUCGCCAUAGCUGCAACUUCGCGUACUUCGUUUGUGUUCAACGACCAGACAAAGGCGUCACAGAACCCCACCUUGAUCAAUAAAGCUUUCAUCUUAUAUUCGCAAUAUCCAGAUUGCAAUCUUAGUUUCUUGCUUGUUCUUCGUUUGCUCGCAGGAAACAGACCCUCGUGGUCAGGUUGAUCGUGCUCCGGCGUGGUCAAUAACCUCUCGGAGUUGGUUUAGCGAUUGCUAAGGCGCGACGUCCUCGCACGUUCGUAGUCGGAUCGUCAAAGUCGACUUCCACCAAAGCGAAAUCCACCAUCUCAUCGAAAGACGGGACACCUUUGCCUCUAUCAAGUGGUAUCAGAUUUCCAGGUUGCUCGGUGAGAUUUUACAGUUUUUCGUAGUUUAGAUCGAGUCUGUUCUUCAUACCUAUAGUCCACGAAAAAGCCAAAAAAAAAAUUAGGGUUAGUUCAUCCCAUCCGAACCAAUCUGAGCCUUGCAUAAUCUUUUCUGUAUUUGCUUUGUUGAAUUUGCGGUUGCAUCGUCGUGUUCAGUUGCUGGUCUUAGCGUCUAGCCUUUUAGAGUUUCGAGUUCUGUUCACAAGUUGUCACGCCGUCGCCGCACCAUCAUCAUCGCCCCUGCCAUCUACCACCACCGCUCCGAAUCCGUCUACCUCCACGUCGCGAAGCAGACCUCCGCCGAGCAAGCCGUGUUCCUCUUGCGUUUGGCCAAACUGUUGGUGCUGCUGUUGAUACUUCUGUGGCUCCUGCUGCUGAUGCGGAGGAGGAUGAUUAUGUGGGAGAUUAUGAGGAUGAGGUUGAUCAAAAUCACCACUACGUGCAGCCACCAGUACCACCACCAGCAGGUCGACCUCAGGUAUAUAUUCGUAAUGGUAGGCCUGCACCACCACCUCAGGUACGCGAUGAUGUCCAUAUUCCUAAACUGAAAUUGAAUAUUCCACCAUUUGAGGGUAGAUAUGUUCCUGAUAUAUAUCUUACUUGGGAGUUAGAAACUGAACAACGAUUUACAUGUUUACAAUAUCCUGAGGAGAGACGAGUUGCUGCUGCUGUUUGUGCUUUCACUAGUUUUGCAUGUGUAUGGUGGUCUGAACAUUGUAGAUUAUAUCCUAUUCCAACUACUUGGGCUGCUUUGAAAACUGCUAUGCAUACGCGUUGGGUUCCACCAUAUUAUCAACGUGAAUUGCUUCAAAAAUUGCAGCGUUUAAGACAAGGAAAAAAUUCUGUAGAAGAAUAUUAUCAGGAAUUACAAACUGGCAUGAUUAGAUGUGGUAUUGUUGAGGAGAAUGAAGCUAUGCUUGCACGUUUUCUGGGUGGAUUAAAUAGAGAGAUUCAGACCAUUCUAGACUAUAAGGAGUAUACUAAUAUCACUCGUUUAUUCCAUCUUGCUUGUAAAGCUGAACGUGAAGUGCAGGAUCGACAAGCAUUGGGGCGAACUAACUUUUCUGCAGGCCGACCUUCAUCAUGGACACCACGUGCAUCUUCUACUUCAACUGCACCAGCACCUCCAUCCGGUGCCACCUCCAGCCGUGAUACAAGAAAACAGGCACAACCACCAUUAUCUGCCAAGAGCGCACCUGCGGGGCCUGCACAGCGUUCUUUUUCUUCCAUGGCAUCAACAGGGCACACAAGUGAUAUUAUUUGUCGUCGUUGUAAGGGAGGAGGUCAUUAUGCGAGAGAAUGCAAAUCUCCGCGUGUGAUGAUUGCUACCGCGGAUGGUGGAUAUGAGUCCGCUAGUGACUAUGAUGAGGAGACAUUGGCUCUUAUUACACGUGAAGAACAUGGUGGAGAUGAUUCUGAUCAUGAGACGCAAUACAUGGCUCCUGAAGACGCUGACAGGUAUGAAUGUUUAGUUGCUCAACGUGUUUUGAGUGUGCAGGUCACACAAGCUGAGCAAAAUCAGAGGCACAAUUUGUUCCAUACCAAGGGAGUUGUGAAGGAACGUUCUGUGCGCGUCAUAAUAGACGGAGGGAGCUGCAACAACUUGGCUAGCAUGGAGAUGGUGGAGAAGCUUUCUCUCACCACAAGACCACAUCCACAUCCUUACUACAUCCAAUGGUUCAACAACAGUGGCAAGGUUAAGGUAACACGUACUGUUCGUGUGCAUUUUUGAUGAGGACAUCAAUACAAUUGUUACACCCACAGCCCCUGCUGCUAUACAUACUGGACCAAUUACUAGAGCUCGUGCACGCCAACUAAAUUACCAGGUACUUUCGUUUCUUGGUAAUGAUUCUAAUGUUCAUGAGAAUAUGAUGCUGCCUAAAUUGGAUACAUUUGUUUUGCUUACAAAUGAAGGGCCUAGCUUGGAGAAGGAUGAACAUUGGAGCAAGAACAAGCAUGGAGAUGAUGGCAUGCGCAAGGGAAACAAGAACGGAGUUACAAGUGAUGAUUUCAGGACUUUGAAGCCACCAUAAUGGGUGCAUGAAGCCUUGGACGAAAUAUACAAGAUGACACUUCAUAAAUUUCGUCCCGAGGCUAUUUUAGGUGCUGCGUCACCUUAUUAUUGGGCCAGGCCCAUGUAAUUUCGAAAUACAUAAGUAUAGGCUAUUUUUAGAGUCCGUAUGUGUGGGGAAACAAGAGAUAGGGUUGAUUUCGGACCCCUCCACCAAGGGCCACGAAAUUCCCCCCUCUUCCUCCAUAUAUACAGCCCUUAGGGCAUCGUUUAGACUUUGGGUUUUGUUUAGAUUAAAAGUUCGCCAUAGCUGCAACUUCGCGUACUUCGUUUGUGUUCAACGACCAGACAAAGGCGUCACAGAACGCCACCUUGAUCAAUAAAGCUUUCAUCUUAUAUUCGCAAUAUCCAGAUUGCAAUCUUAGUUUCUUGCUUGUUCUUCGUUUGCUCGCAGGAAACAGACCCUCGUGGUCAGGUUGAUCGUGCUCCGGCGUGGUCAAUAACCUCUCGGAGUUGGUUUAGCGAUUGCUAAGGCGCGACGUCCUCGCACGUUCGUAGUCGGAUCGUCAAAGUCGACUUCCACCAAAGCGAUAUCCAUCAUCUCAUCGAAAGACGGGACACCUCCGCCUCUAUCAAGUGGUAUCAGAUUUCCAGGUUGCUCGGUGAGAUUUUACAGUUUUUCGUAGUUUAGAUCGAGUCUGUUCUUCAUACCUACAGUCCACGAAAAAGCCACAAAAAAAAUUAGGGUUAGUUCAUCAUAUCCGAACCAAUCUGAGCCUUUGCAUAAUCUUUUUAGGGUUUUGCUUUGUUGAAUUUGCGGUUGCAUCGUCGUGUCUAGCUGCUGGUCUUAGAGUCUAGUCUUUUAGAGUUUCGAGUUCUGGUCAUAAGUUGUCACGCCGCCGCCGCACCAUCAUCAUCGCCCCUGCCAUCUACCACCACCGCUUAUCCGCUACCGCUCCGAAUCCGUAUCCAUAUACCACCACCGAUCCAUAUCCAUAUACUACCACCGCUACCACCACCGCUGCCACAUACCACCACCAUAUAUCCACCACCAAUCCGAGUUCCUUGCAUAUUAGGUUUGUUUUCGAGAUCCAUCUAGAUUCCGAUUCGUGUUUCCUUGCCGGAGUAGGUUUCGGAAAAAAAAGAGUCGGGUAGCCACGCUCCGUUUAGGCCCAAAAUUUUUCGAAAACGCAUUUUUCGAAAAAAAUUCUGGCUAUCCUAUUUUUAGGUGUUUCUGAGUGUUUUGAGACAGGUGCCAUUAUAGGAAGUUUUUUUUGACCUGUUUCCAGAUUUUGGGUCCGGGCAGUCGAAAAAAAAAAUUUGGUCGAAAAAAUAAAUUUCGUGCCCAUCCUGUCAGUUUGACCUAGGAAGAGUUUUGAGACACUCGCCAUUAUAGUGAUUUUUCGCAAAAAAAAAGCAGCGCAAAAAAAAGAGCGCAAAAAAGAAAGAGCGAAAAAAAAAUUCAGAGUGUGCUUUUCCCUUGUUUACGUGCCGCGCCGUGAUUUUGUUGGUGUUCUAGGCUCGCGUCUCUAGCACAUUCUUGCCUAGGACCAGCACAGUACGUCGUUGAGCGUUUAUUCAACUUUGCAUCUCUGAAUUGAUUAUUGCUGACCCUUUUUGCUACCAUACUAUAAGCCUUCCCAGCUCCACAUACAUCUACGUCGUGUGUUUGACUCUCCCUGGUAAUCGCUCUAUCCAAGCUUUGAGAGUUUUUGACUACAACGGUUGCCGAUCACCGCCUGCUGCUGGGUAAGAAUUUGAGAUUUGCUUGACGGAUUUGUGAUACACCACCACCACUUCUUAGUAGUCUGUAGGAUCAUAUUCUUGUGUGUUUCUAUUGCUGCUAACCAUGCCAGGAUCACAAGCCGACGAGAUUGACUGGGAGAACUUAUCGAACAAGGAGCUUGAUGAUAAGUUUCAGCAAAUGAUGACUGAACAGGUACAAGAUGUGCUGAACAAUUUUGAAGAGGCCAUGGAGAAGAUCAUUGGCCUUGAGAAGACGUUCGAAACAAAGCUCGAUAACAGAUUUAAUGAACUGCUUGCGCGUCUUCCACCACCGGCUGCACCUGUCGCACCUCUGUAACAACAACAACUACGCCCCCUUCCGAAUCAGUAUGGACGAGCACAGCGUGUUCCUAUUGUGCCAGGACAAAAUUCUGGUGCCGCUGUUACUGCUGUUGGUGCUUCUUUGGCUCCUGCUACUGCUCCUGCUGGUACCCAGGAGGAUGAUGAGUAUGCGGGCGAUUAUGAGGAUGAGGUUGAUCAAAAUCAGAUCUACGAGCAGCCACCAGCACCACCACCAGCAGGUCGACCUCAGGUAUAUAUUCGUAAUGGUAGGCCUGCACCACCACCUCAGGUACGAGAUGAUGUCCAUAUUCCUAAACUGAAAUUGAAUAUUCCACCAUUUGAGGGUAGAUAUGUUCCUGAUAUAUAUCUUACAUGGGAGUUAGAAACUGAACAACGAUUUACAUGUUUACAAUAUCCUGAGGAGAGACGAGUUGCUGCUGCUGUUUGUGCUUUCACUAGUUUUGCAUGUGUAUGGUGGUCUGAACAUUGUAGAUUAUAUCCUAUUCCAACUACUUGGGCUGCUUUGAAAACUGCUAUGCGUACGCGUUGGGUUCCACCAUAUUAUCAACGUGAAUUGCUUCAAAAAUUGCAGCGUUUAAGACAAGGGAAAAAUUCUGUUGAAGAAUAUAAUCAGGAAUUACAAACUGGCAUGAUUAGAUGUGGUAUUGUUGAGGAGAAUGAAGCUAUGCUUGCACGUUUUCUGGGUGGAUUAAAUAGAGAGAUUCAGACCAUUCUAGACUAUAAGGAGUAUACUAAUAUCACUCAUUUAUUCCAUCUUGCUUGUAAAGCUGAACGUGAAGUGCAGGAUCGACAAGCAUUGGGGCGAACUAACUUUUCUGCAGGCCGACCUUCAUCAUGGACACCACGUGCAUCUUCUACUUCAACUGCACUAGCACCUCCAUCCGGUGCCACCUCCAGCCGUGAUACAAGAAAACAGGCACAACCACCAUUAUCUGCCAAGAGCGCACCUGCGGGGCCUGCACAGCGUUCUUCUUCUUCCAUGGCAUCAACAGGGCACACAAGUGAUAUUAUUUGUCGUCGUUGUAAGGGAGGAGGUCAUUAUGCGAGGGAAUGCAAAUCUCCGCGUGUGAUGAUUGCUACCGCGGAUGGUGGAUAUGAGUCCGCUAGUGACUAUGAUGAGGAGACAUUGGCUCUUAUUACACGUGAAGAACAUGGUGGAGAUGAUUCUGAUCAUGAGACGCAAUACAUGGCUCCUGAAGACGCUGACAGGUAUGAAUGUUUAGUUGCUCAACGUGUUUUGAGUGUGCAGGUCACACAAGCUGAGCAAAAUCAGAGGCACAAUUUGUUCCAUACCAAGGGAGUUGUGAAGGAACGUUCUGUGCGCGUCAUAAUAGACGGAGGGAGCUACAACAACUUGGCUAGCAUGGAGAUGGUGGAGAAGCUUUCUCUCACCACAAGACCACAUCCACAUCCUUACUACAUCCAAUGGUUCAACAACAGCGGCAAGGUUAAGGUAACACGUACUGUUCGUGUGCAUUUUAGUAUCUCUACAUAUGCUGAUUAUGUUGAUUGUGAUGUGGUACCUAUGCAAGCAUGUUCCUUAUUACUUGGUAGACCAUGGCAAUUUGAUAAAAAUUCUGUACACCAUGGUAGAAACAAUCACUAUACUCUUGUUCAUAAGGAUAAAAAUAUUACUUUGCUUCCUAUGACUCCUGAUUCCAUUUUGAAAGAUGAUAUUAAUAGAGCUAAUAAAGCACAACAGGAGAAGAAUAAGAGUGAAAAUCAGAUUGUGGCAAAAGAAUUUGAGCAACAAAUGAAGCCUAAUAAUAAACCAUCUAGUGUUGCUUCUGAAAUUAAAUUGAAAUGUGCAUGUUUAUUUGCCACCAAAUCUGAUAUUGAUGAGCUAGAUUUCAGCAAAUCUGUUUGCUAUGCUUUUGUGUGCAAAGAGGCAUUAUUUUCAUUCGAGGACGUGCCUUCCUCUUUGCCUCCUGCUGUCACUAACAUUUUGCAGGAGUUCGCUGACGUUUUUCCACAAGACGUGCCACCGGGAUUACCGCCUAUUCGAGGGAUUGAGCAUCAGAUUGACUUAAUUCCCGGUGCUUCACUGCCAAACCGUGCACCAUACCGUACCAAUCCAGAGGAGACGAAGGAGAUUAUGCGUCAAGAACAAGAGCUUCUCGACAAAGGUUAUAUACGCGAAUCCCUUAGUCCUUGUGCUGUUCCUAUUAUUCUAGUGCCGAAAAAGGAUGGUACAUCACGUAUGUGUGUUGAUUGUAGAGGCAUUAAUAAUAUUACUAUUCGUUAUCGUCAUCCUAUUCCUAGGCUAGAUGAUAUGCUUGAUGAAUUGAGUGGCUCUACAAUAUUCUCCAAAGUUGAUUUGCGUAGUGGCUACCAUCAAAUUCGUAUGAAAUUGGGAGAUGAAUGGAAAACAGCAUUUAAAACUAAGUUUGGAUUAUAUGAGUGGUUAGUCAUGCCUUUUGGGUUAACUAAUGCACCUAGUACUUUCAUGAGAUUAAUGAACGAAGUUUUACGUGCUUUCAUUGGACGAUUUGUGGUAGUUUACUUUGAUGACAUAUUGAUUUAUAGCAGAUCUUUGGAAGAACAUUUGGAACAUUUACGUGCUGUUUUUAUUGCUCUACGUUGAUGAGGACAUCAAUACAAUUGUUACACCCACAGCCCCUGCUGCUAUACAUACUGGACCAAUUACUAGAGCUCGUGCACGCCAACUAAAUUACCAGGUACUUUCGUUUCUUGGUAAUGAUUCUAAUGUUCAUGAGAAUAUGAUGCUGCCUAAAUUGGAUACAUUUGUUUUGCUUACAAAUGAAGGGCCUACCUUGGAGAAGGAUGAACAUUGGAGCAAGAACAAGCAUGGAGAUGAUGGCAUGCGCAAGGGGAACAAGAACGGAGUUACAAGUGAUGAUUCCAGGACUUUGAAGCCACCAUAAUGGGUGCAUGAAGCCUUGGACGAAAUAUACAAGAUGCCACUUCAUAAAUUUCGUCCCGAGGCUAUUUUAGGUGCUGCGUCACCUUAUUAUUGGGCCAGGCCCAUGUAAUUUCGAAAUACAUAAGUAUAGGCUAUUUUUAGAGUCCGUAUGUGUGGGGAAACAAGAGAUAGGGUUGAUUUCGGAUCCCUCCACCAAGGGCCACGAAAUUCCCCCCCCUCUUCCUCCAUAUAUACAGCCCUUAGGGCAUCGUUUAGACUUUGGGUUUUGUUUAGAUUAAAAGUUCGCCAUAGCUGCAACUUCGCGUACUUCGUUUGUGUUCAACGACCAGACAAAGGCGUCACAGAACCCCACCUUGAUCAAUAAAGCUUUCAUCUUAUAUUCGCAAUAUCCAGAUUGCAAUCUUAGUUUCUUGCUUGUUCUUCGUUUGCUCGCAGGAAACAGACCCUCGUGGUCAGGUUGAUCGUGCUCCGGUGUGGUCAAUAACCUCUCGGAGUUGGUUUAGCGAUUGCUAAGGCGUGACGUCCUCGCACGUUCGUAGUCGGAUCGUCAAAGUCGACUUCCACCAAAGCGAUAUCCAUCAUCUCAUCGAAAGAUCGGGACCCUCGCCUCUAUCAAGUGGUAUCAGAUUUCCAGGUUGCUCGGUGAGAUUUUACAGUUUUUCGUAGUUUAGAUCGAGUCUGUUCUUCAUACCUAUAGUCCACGAAAAAGCCAAAAAAAAAUUAGGGUUAGUUCAUCCCAUCCGAACCAAUCUGAGCCUUGCAUAAUCUUUUCUGUAUUUGCUUUGUUGAAUUUGCGGUUGCAUCGUCGUGUUCAGUUGCUGGUCUUAGCGUCUAGUCUUUUAGAGUUUCGAGUUCUGUUCACAAGUUGUCACGCCGUCGCCGCACCAUCAUCAUCGCCCCUGCCAUCUACCACCACCGCUCCGAAUCCGUAUCCAUAUACCACCACCAAUCCGCUGCCAUAUACCACCACCAUAUAUCCACCACCAAUCCGAGUUCCUUGCUUAUUAGGUUUGAGCAACAAAUGAAGCCUAAUAAUAAACCAUCUAGUGUUGCUUCUGAAAUUAAAUUGAUAAGUGCAUGUUUAUUUGCCACCAAAUCUGAUAUUGAUGAGCUAGAUUUCAGCAAAUCUGUUUGCUAUGCUUUUGUGUGCAAAGAGGCAUUAUUUUCAUUCGAGGACGUGCCUUCCUCUUUGCCUCCUGCUGUCACUAACAUUUUGCAGGAGUUCGCUGACGUUUUUCCACAAGACGUGCCAUCGGGAUUACCGCCUAUUCGAGGGAUUGAGCAUCAGAUCGACUUAAUUCCCGGUGCUUCACUGCCAAACCGUGCACCAUACCGUACCAAUCCAGAGGAGACGAAGGAGAUUAUGCGUCAAGUACAAGAGCUUCUCGACAAAGGUUAUAUACGCGAAUCCCUUAGUCCUUGUGCUGUUCCUAUUAUUCUAGUGCCGAAAAAGGAUGGUACAUCACGUAUGUGUGUUGAUUGUAGAGGCAUUAAUAAUAUUACUAUUCGUUAUCGUCAUCCUAUUCCUAGGCUAGAUGAUAUGCUUGAUGAAUUGAGUGGCUCUACAAUAUUCUCCAAAGUUGAUUUGCGUAGUGGCUACCAUCAAAUUCGUAUGAAAUUGGGAGAUGAAUGGAAAACAGCAUUUAAAACUAAGUUUGGAUUAUAUGAGUGGUUAGUCAUGCCUUUUGGGUUAACUAAUGCACCUAGUACUUUCAUGAGAUUAAUGAACGAAGUUUUACGUGCUUUCAUUGGACGAUUUGUGGUAGUUUACUUUGAUGACAUAUUGAUUUAUAGCAGAUCUUUGGAAGAACAUUUGGAACAUUUACGUGCUGUUUUUAUUGCUCUACGUGAUGCACGUUUGUUUGGUAACCUUGGGAAGUGCAUCUUUUGCACCGACCGAGUAUCUUUUCUUGGCUAUGUUGUUACUCCACAGGGAAUUGAAGUUGAUACAGCCAAGAUUGAAGCUAUUGAGAGUUGGCCGCAGCCCAAAACGGUCACACAAGUGAGGAGUUUUCUUGGCUCGCUGGAUUCUAUAGGCGUUUUGUGAGAGAUUUCAGCACCAUUGCUGCACCUCUCAAUGAGCUUACAAAGAAAGACGUGCCUUUUCUUUGGGGUACCGCACAGGAAGAAGCCUUCACGGUAUUGAAAGAUAAGUUGACACAUGCUCCUUUACUCCAACAUCCUGAUUUUAAUAAGACUUUUGAGCUUGAAUGUGAUGCUAGUGGAAUUGGAUUAGGCGGUGUGUUAUUACAAGAUGGCAAACAUGUUGCAUACUUUUCUGAAAAAUUGAGUGGGCCUAGUCUGAAUUAUUCUACUUAUGAUAAAGAAUUAUAUGCUCUUGUUCGGACUUUAGAAACAUGGCAACAUUAUUUAUGGCCCAAAGAAUUUGUUAUACAUUCUGAUCAUGAAUCUUUGAAACAUAUUAAAAGUCAAGCUAAACUGAACCGUAGACAUGCUAAAUGGGUUGAAUUCAUUGAGACUUUUCCUUAUGUCAUUAAACACAAGAAGGGAAAAGAAAAUGUUAUUGCUGAUGCAUUGUCUCGCCGCUAUACUAUGCUUUCACAACUUGACUUCAAAAUAUUUGGUUUGGAAACCAUCAAAGAUCAAUAUGUGCAUGAUGCUGAUUUUAAAGAUGUAAUGCAGAAUUGUAAAGAAGGAAGAAUGUGGAACAAGUUUGUUGUUAACGAUGGAUUUGUGUUUCGUGCUAACAAGCUAUGCAUUCCAGCUAGCUCCGUUCGUCUUUUGUUGUUGCAGGAGGCGCAUGGAGGAGGAUUAAUGGGACACUUUGGCGUGAAGAAGACGGAGGACGUACUUGCUACACAUUUCUUUUGGCCAAAGAUGAGACGGGAUGUUGAGUGUUUUAUUGCUCGCUGCACUACAUGUCAAAAAGCUAAGUCACGACUCAAUCCUCAUGGUUUAUAUAUGCCUUUGCCUGUACCUAGUGUUCCUUGGGAGGAUAUAUCUAUGGACUUUGUUUUAGGUUUACCUCGAACAAAGAAGGGGAGGGAUAGCAUAUUUGUUGUCGUGGAUAGAUUCUCGAAGAUGGCACACUUUAUACCAUGUCAUAAAAGCGAUGAUGCUGUUAAUGUUGCUGAUUUGUUCUUUCGUGAAAUUAUUCGCUUGCAUGGUGUGCCAAAUACUAUUGUUUCAUAUCGUGAUACUAAAUUUCUUAGCCACUUUUGGAGAUGUUUAUGGGCUAAGUUGGGGACUAAACUGCUUUUUAGUACUACUUGUCACCCCCAAACUGAUGGACAAACUGAAGUAGUCAAUAGAACGUUGUCUACUAUGCUUAGGGCUGUUUUGAAGAAUAAUAAGAAAAUGUGGGAGGAAUGCUUGCCUCAUAUUGAAUUUGCUUAUAAUCGUUCAUUGCAUUCUACUACUAAGAUGUGCCCUUUUGAAGUUGUGUAUAGUUUCCUACCUCAUGCACCUAUUGAUUUGUUGCCUCUUCCAUCUUUGGAGAAGGUUAAUUUUGAUGCUAAACAACGUGCUGAAUUGAUUUUAAAAAUGCAUGAGUUAACUAAGGAAAACAUUGAGCGCAUGAAUGCUAAAUAUAAACUUGCUGGAGAUAAGGGUAGAAAACAUGUUGUGUUUGCACCUGGAGAUCUUGUUUGGUUACAUUUGCGUAAGGAUAGAUUUCCUGAUUUGCGCAAAUCAAAGUUAAUGCCACGUGCUGAUGGUCCCUUUAAGGUGUUAGAGAAAAUAAAUGAUAAUGCACAUAAACUUGAGCUGCCUGCAGAUUUUGGGGUUAGUCCCACUUUUAACAUUGCAGAUUUGAAGCCUUAUUUGGGUGAGGAAGAUGAACUUCCAUCGAGGACGGCUUCAUUUCAAGAAGGGGAGGAUGAUGAGGACAUCAAUACAAUUGUUACACCCACAGCCCCUGCUGCUAUACAUACUGGACCAAUUACUAGAGCUCGUGCACGCCAACUAAAUUACCAGGUACUUUCGUUUCUUGGUAAUGAUUCUAAUGUUCAUGAGAAUAUGAUGCUGCCUAAAUUGGAUACAUUUGUUUUGCUUACAAAUGGAGGGCCUAGCUUGAAGAAGGAUGAACAUUGGAGCAAGAACAAGCAUGGAGAUGAUGGCAUGCGCAAGGGGAACAAGAACGGAGUUACAAAUGAUGAUUUCAGGACUUUGAAGCCACCAUAAUGGGUGCAUGAAGCCUUGGACGAAAUAUACAAGAUGCCACUUCAUAAAUUUCGUCCCGAGGCUAUUUUAGGUGCUGCGUCACCUUAUUAUUGGGCCAGGCCCAUGUAAUUUCGAAAUACAUAAGUAUAGGCUAUUUUUAGAGUCCGUAUGUGUGGGGAAACAAGAGAUAGGGUUGAUUUCGGACCCCUCCACCAAGGGCCACGAAAUUCCCCCCUCUUCCUCCAUAUAUACAGUGAUGAGGACAUGACUACCAUGGAUAUGAACAAAAAUAUUGCAUAUAUGCAUAUUUGUCAGGUGAUUUCUAGUGCAAACUAUUCAAUAAUCUAUUUAUGUUAUCCAGAACAAAAAUACUUCACACACUUUUGUGUUUUGUCUAAUUGCAGGUGUAUGGGACAUUUGUACAAUCCACAUAUGAAGAUAAGGAAGAAAGAGAUGUUUAUUUUCUGUCUAAAAAGUUCUCUCACGUCACUUUUGGCCCAAGAGAAGAUAGAGUCCAAGUCUCUCACGUUCUGGAUUCAGAUUCGGACUGCACAGACACACCUGACUCAAAACGCACACAAGUUUUUCAUACGGACUCUGAAUUGGGUGAUUCUUUUUUUGUUGGAAACUAGAUUUCGUGCACUUUCCAACCCAAUUGGAAUCACCUUCAAAUUCGUCCGGAGAGUUGAGUUGUGGACGAAACAAUCUGAUGCUGCAGCAGAAUCCGAGUCAAACUACAAGUCCAAAGGUGUUACAUCACCUCCACUUGGGCCCAUUGGCCUUGUACGACCUAGAUUUAGUUUUAGGUUGCCUUGGGACGUCCUCCCACCUCCUUGGCCUCCACCCCUUUGAUAGAGGCAGAGGUGUCCCGUCUUUCGAUGAGAUGAUGGAUUUCGCUUUGGUCAAAGUCGACUUUGACGAUCCGAUGAUAGAGGCAAAGGUGUCCCGUCUUUCGAUGAGAUGGUGGAUUUCGCUUUGGUGGAAGUCGACUUUGACGAUCCGACUACGAACGUGCGAGGACGUCGCGCCUUAGCAAUCGCUAAACCAACUCCGAGAGGUUAUUGACCACGCCGGAGCACGAUCAACCUGACCACGAGGGUCUGUUUCCUGCGAGCAAACGAAGAACAAGCAAGAAACUAAGAUUGCAAUCUGGAUAUUGCGAAUAUAAGAUGAAAGCUUUAUUGAUCAAGGUGGGGUUCUGUGACGCCUUUGUCUGGUCGUUGAACACAAACGAAGUACGCGAAGUUGCAGCUAUGGCGAACUUUUAAUCUAAACAAAACCCAAAGUCUAAACGAUGCCCUAAGGGCUGUAUAUAUGGAGGAAGAGGGGGAGAAUUUCGUGGCCCUUGGUGGAGGGGUCCGAAAUCAACCCUAUCUCUUGUUUCCCCACACAUAGGGACUCUAAAAAUAGCCUAUACUUAUGUAUUUCGAAAUUACAUGGGCCUGGCCCAAUAAUAAGGUGACGCAGCACCUAAAAUAGCCUCGGGACGAAAUUUAUGAAGUGGCGUCUUGUAUAUUUCGUCCAAGGCUUCAUGCACCCAUUAUGGUGGCUGCAAAGUCCUGAAAUCAUCACUUGUAACUCCGUUCUUGUUUCCCUUGCGCAUGCCAUCAUCUCCAUGCUUGUUCUUGCUCCAAUGUUCAUCCUUCUCCAAGCUAGGCCCUUCAUUUGUAAGCAAAACAAAUGUAUCCAAUUUAGGCAGCAUCAUAUUCUCAUGAACAUUAGAAUCAUUACCAAGAAACGAAAGUACUUGGUAAUUUAGUUGGCGUGCACGAGCUCUAGUAAUUGGUCCAGUAUGUAUAGCAGCAGGGGCUGUGGGUGUAACAAUUGUAUUGAUGUCCUCAUCAUCCUCCCCUUCUUGAAAUGAAGUCGUCCUCGACAGAAGUUCAUCUUCCUCACCCAAAUAAGGCUUCAAAUCUGCAAUGUUAAAAGUGGGACUAACCCCAAAAUCUGCUGGCAGCUCAAGUUUAUAUGCAUUAUCAUUUAUUUUCUCUAACACCUUAAAGGGACCAUCAGCACGUGGCAUUAACUUUGAUUUGCGCAAAUCAGGAAAUCUAUCCUUACGCAAAUGUAACCAAACAAGAUCUCCAGGUGCAAACACAACAUGUUUUCUACCCUUAUCUCCAGCAAGUUUAUAUUUAGCAUUCAUGCGCUCAAUGUUUUCCUUAGUUAACUCAUGCAUUUUUAAAAUCAAUUCAGCACGUUGUUUAGCAUCAAAAUUAACCUUCUCCGAAGAUGGAAGAGGCAACAAGUCAAUAGGUGCACGAGGUAGGAAACCAUACACAACUUCAAAAGGGCACAUCUUAGUAGUAGAAUGCAAUGAACGAUUAUAAGCAAAUUCAAUAUGAGGCAAGCAUUCCUCCCACAUUUUCUUAUUAUUCUUCAAAACAGCCCUAAGCAUAGUAGACAACGUUCUAUUGACUACUUCAGUUUGUCCAUCAGUUUGGGGGUGACAAGUAGUACUAAAAAGNNNNNNNNNNNNNNNNNNNNNNNNNNNNNNNNNNNNNNNNNNNNNNNNNNNNNNNNNNNNNNNNNNNNNNNNNNNNNNNNNNNNNNNNNNNNNNNNNNNNAAAAAUAGCCUAUACUUAUGUAUUUCGAAAUUACAUGGGCCUGGCCCAAUAAUAAGGUGACGCAGCACCUAAAAUAGCCUCGGGACGAAAUUUAUGAAGUGGCGUCUUGUAUAUUUCGUCCAAGGCUUCAUGCACCCAUUAUGGUGGCUUCAAAGUCCUGAAAUCAUCACUUGUAACUCCGUUCUUGUUUCCCUUGCGCAUGCCAUCAUCUCCAUGCUUGUUCUUGCUCCAAUGUUCAUCCUUCUCCAAGCUAGGCCCUUCAUUUGUAAGCAAAACAAAUGUAUCCAAUUUAGGCAGCAUCAUAUUCUCAUGAACAUUAGAAUCAUUACCAAGAAACGAAAGUACCUGGUAAUUUAGUUGGCGUGCACGAGCUCUAGUAAUUGGUCCAGUAUGUAUAGCAGCAGGGGCUGUGGGUGUAACAAUUGUAUUGAUGUCCUCAUCAACAAAUCAAUAGGUGCACGAGGUAGGAAACCAUACACAACUUCAAAAGGGCACAUCUUAGUAGUAGAAUGCAAUGAACGAUUAUAAGCAAAUUCAAUAUGAGGCAAGCAUUCCUCUCACAUUUUCUUAUUAUUCUUCAAAACAGCCCUAAGCAUAGUAGACAACGUUCUAUGGACUACUUCAGUUUGUCCAUCAGUUUGGGGGUGACAAGUAGUACUAAAAAGCAGUUUAGUCCCCAACUUAGCCCAUAAACAUCUCCAAAAGUGGCUAAGAAAUUUAGUAUCACGAUCUGAAACAAUAGUAUUUGGCACACCAUGCAAGCGAAUAAUUUCACGAAAGAACAAAUCAGCAACAUUAACAACAUCAUCGCUUUUAUGACAUGGUAUAAAGUGUGCCAUUUUCGAGAAUCUAUCCACGACAACAAAUAUGCUAUCCCUCCCCUUCUUUGUUCGAGGUAAACCUAAAACAAAGUCCAUAGAUAUAUCCUCCCAAGGAACACUAGGUACAGGCAAAGGCAUAUAUAAACCAUGAGGAUUGAGUCGUGACUUAGCUUUUUGACAUGUAGUGCAGCGAGCAAUAAAACGCUCAACAUCCCCUCUCAUCUUUGGCCAAAACAAAUGUGUUGAUGAGGACAUGACUACCUUGGAUAUGACCAAAAAUAUUGCAUAUAUGCAAUAUUUUUGGUCAUAUCCAAGGUAGUCAUGUCCUCAUCAAGGCAGCCUAAAACUAAAUCUAGGUCGUACAAGGCCAAUGGGCCCAAGUGGAGGUGAUGUAACACCUUUGGACUUGUAGUUUGACUCGGAUUCUGCUGCAGCAUCAGAUUGUUUCGUCCACAACUCAACGCUCCGGACGAAUUUGAAGGUGAUUCCACUUGGGUUGGAAAGUGCACGAAAUCUAGUUUCCAACAAAAAAAGAAUCACCCAAUUCGGAGUCCGUAUGAAAAACUUGUGUGCGUUUUGAGUCAGGUAUGUCUGUGCAGUCCGAAUCUGAAUCCAGAACGUGGGAGACUUGGACUCUAUCUUCUCUUGGGCCAAAAGUGACGUGAGAGAACUUUUUGGAUAGCAAAUAAACAUCUCUUUCUUCCUUAUCUUCAUAUGUGGAUUGUACAAAUGUCCCAUACACCUGCAAUUAGACAAAACACAAAAGUGUGUGAAGUAUUUUUGUUCUGGAUAACAUAAAUAGAUUAUUGAAUAUUUUGCACUAGAAAUCACCUGACAAAUAUGCAUAUAUGCAAUAUUUUUGGUCAUAUCCAAGGUAGUCAUGUCCUCAUCAUCCUCCCCUUCUUGAAAAUAAAGCCGUCCUCGGCGUUGCUUAAUCUGAAAUGUGGCUAACAAAAGAGACAAGGUGUACAUGUUGUAUAUGUAUAUGUCAUCCAUUUUUACUUUCCUUGAUUUUUGCAUAUAUGACACAUGAAUAGAUGAGUAACUUGCAUAGUUCAUAAAAUCUAAAGCCAAAAAAUUAGCACAAGAAGUAGAAGGCAUGAAAAUAUUGCAACUCAGUUUGCACAUAUAAGUGAAGCUCUUAUUCAUUUCAAAAGAUUGACAAUGUUCAUCAUUAAACCAUCCCAACAUUGGUGAAUAAACCUUACUUGCAUCUAAUUUACAUGCUACAACAUGCUUAAAUAAGCAAACAUGCAAUAAGUCAUUUAACACAGAAUCAUCACCAAGAUUAGAGGUCAUAUCAAAAUGAUUAAACAUUGGUUCUUUUGCAUCAAUAGUUAAUUCAAUGGGUGCACUCAAAAUUGUUGGUAUUUCAGUUGUUUGAUCACAUGGCAAAGUCAAAUUAUCAACGUAGUCCUCUAAAAUAGGUGGUGUGAUCAAAGUAGUGGGUAGCUCAUCAGAUGGUGCAUUCAAAUUGACAAGGCAUUCAUCAUUCUCAUGUAGAGAUGGAAGAUCAGUACCUUUGUCAUUACCUCUUAUGAUCAACUCAGAUGAUGUAGCCACUCUCGGGGGCGAUGUGUCACAUGGUGGAGGUGAUGUAGUCCUGACAACAACGGAUGUGGUUGUCAUAGUAUGCCUAGUAGUUGAAGGAACAAUCAUAUCAACUCUUGGAAUGUGCAUCGUGCGCUUGUUCUCCUCGUGGCCAACACGUUGUUUUAUUUCCUGUUCAGCUUUGCAAGCAAGAUGAAACAAAUGGUCCAUAAGAUAACACUCUUCAUGAAUUAGUAUCUCUUGAAUAUCACGGUUUAAUCCUCCCCAAAAUCUAUCCAUAAAAUCAUCUUCACUUUCUUCUAAAGAGGAAUGCAACAAGGUAGUUUGUAAAUCAUCAUAAUAUUUUGUUACAGUUUCACUACCUUGUUUUAAGUGUUGCAACUUCUUAAUCAUGUCACGAGUAUAAUAAGCAGGGACGAAAGUAUGUCGCAUGGCAAGUUUCAAAUCAUCCCAAGUAGUAGGUAUAUAAUCAGGGUGUAACCGACAAUAUUCACUCCACCAAACACAAGCAUAACCAGUGAAAGAACCAACCGCAACCUUAACCUUUUUAUGUUCAUUGAAAUUAUGGGAAGCAAAUAUAUUUUUUAUGUCGAACUCCCAUUCAAUAUAUAAAGCAGGUUUAAAACGGCCAUUAAAUGGUGGUAUAGAUACAUUAACCUGAUCAUGUGCAUUUGGAUGUUUGUGCACCUCUCGUGACGGUUCUGGUAUUUGCAAAGGUGGUGGCACGUCUCCCGCGAUCGACAAAGCCCAUGAAUUGACUCUGGAUCCUGUCAUAAUUAGUAGAACAAGAAACAAAACCCAAAAAUAAUGUUCCUAUAACUACUAGGAUGUGGUGGUAAAACGCUCACAGUAAAGCAAAUAUCAAUGUCUUACAAGUUCUUACCAUGCAGCAGGCGGUGAUCGGCAACCAGCGGUGUCAAGUAACUCCGAAUAUUGAGUAAAGCGAUUGCCAGGGGAGCGUACGUAUACACGGUGUAGAAAUAUGUGGAGCUGGGUUGGCUAUAUAUGGUAGCAAAAGAUUAGCAAUAAUCAAUUCAAAGAUGCAAUGUUGAAUAAACGCUCAACGACGGUACUGUGCUGGUCCUAGGCUAGACCGGACUAGAGACGCGAGCCUAGAACACUAAUGAGGUCACAGCGUAGCACAACUAGCAUCAAUGAAGGAUACUAAGUAGCUCUUGACAGCAAGAUAUAAGUGAAGAUCACAACGGCAGUGAAGAUAAUGAUGAAAAACAACUGCCAAGCAGGAUAUACAACAACUCUCUCCCCAACUUUCCUCUUGAAAAGUUUGAGACAAUUUUCUGAUAAAUUCUUUCAAAGAAUGCUACUAACUCAAGCUUUCCAAUGCAAAAAGAAUCACUCAAUUCCGAGUUGAUAUGAGGAGUCAAAGAAUUCUAAAACUGGCCUGAAAAAUUGGAACAAGUUGUGUUCACGAACUUUGGAGGGCAAAAACACCUAUUUAGAAGCCGAUUUUGAGGUGUCAAAUAUUGAACUAGCUUCUGCAACUAUUUAGAUGCGGCUCGUCGCUAUCUUCAAUUUGAGUACUCACGGAGCCAAAACUGACUUCGUAUGAGGAAGAUACACCUGUUUUACUGAACAGUGCGCAAAACAGAUUCCAAUCCGAAUUCAGGUACGAGAUUGAUUCUAGAUAGAUCCAAUUUUUUUUCUUCUCUUUUUUUUUCUCACGCUUUUUUUUCUUUUUCUUUUCCCUCUUUUUCUUUUUUUUUCUUUCCUUUUUUCUCUCUUUUUUUUUCUUUAUCUUCUUUUUCUCCCUCUUUCCAAGACAAACUAGAUAAGAUGCAGAUUCGAUCUGGCGAAGAUGUGAGUGACCUCAACUAUGAUUAUGACAAUAAACAGUGCGUAGCACGUGGUGGAAAUUGGUGGAUGGGAUGGUGGACAGCGGAUGAGAUAAUGAUGCAGCGGCUGCGUGACUAAUGUGAACAGAACUCGAAACUCUAAAGGAACUAGACACUAAGACCAGCAACUCGACACGAUGAUGCAACCGAUAAUUCAACUAUGCAAGCAAUGAAAAGAAAAUUGCAAAGGCUCAGACUGGCUUGGACCAAGGAUGAAUAGAUCUAACUCUUUUUUUUGUGGCUUUUUCUUGGACAAUAGGUAAGAAAAUAAAUCUAAUCUAGGAAAACUGGAAAUUCUCACCGAGCAACCUGAAAACUGAUACCACUUGAUAGAGGCGAGGGUCCCGAUCUUUCGAUGAGAUGAUAACUAUCGAUUUGGUGGAGACGACUUUGACGAUCCGACUACAAACGUGCACGACGUUGCGCCUUAGCAAUCGCUAAACCAAUCUCCUGAGGUUACUGACGAUGCUGGAAGCACGGUCAGCCUGACCACGAAGGUCUAUUCCUGCAAGCAAUCGCAGAACGAGCAAGAAUAUGAUAAAGCAAUCUGAAUAUUGCAAAUAAAUAUGAAGUAUUGAUAAUGGUGGGGAUCCAGAAGCGGUCUUGGUCUGGUCGUUGGACACAAACGAAGUACACGAAGUUGCAAUGGCUAACUUUUAACUAAACAAAUCCCAAGUAAAAGCUACUAGAUGGAUCUACUUAUAUAGGAGCAAGGGGUGGCGGCCAAGGAGGUGGGAGGACGUCCCAAGGCAGCCUAAAACUAAAUCUAGGUCGUACAAGGCCAAUGGGCCCAAGUGGAGGUGAUGUAACACCUUUGGACUUGUAGUUUGACUCGGAUUCUGCUGCAGCAUCAGAUUGUUUCGUCCACAACUCAACGCUCCGGACGAAUUUGAAGGUGAUUCCACUUGGGUUGGAAAGUGCACGAAAUCUAGUUUCCAACAAAAAAAGAAUCACCCAAUUCGGAGUCCGUAUGAAAAACUUGUGUGCGUUUUGAGUCAGGUAUGUCUGUGCAGUCCGAAUCUGAAUCCAGAACGUGGGAGACUUGGACUCUAUCUUCUCUUGGGCCAAAAGUGACGUGAGAGAACUUUUUGGAUAGCAAAUAAACAUCUCUUUCUUCCUUAUCUUCAUAUGUGGAUUGUACAAAUGUCCCAUACACCUGCAAUUAGACAAAACACAAAAGUGUGUGAAGUAUUUUUGUUCUGGAUAACAUAAAUAGAUUAUUGAAUAUUUUGCACUAGAAAUCACCUGACAAAUAUGCAUAUAUGCAAUAUUUUUGGUCAUAUCCAAGGUAGUCAUGUCCUCAUCAUGUGUAGCAAGUACGUCCUCCGUCUUCUUCACGCCAAAGUGUCCCAUUAAUCCUCCUCCAUGCGCCUCCUGCAACAACAAAAGACGAACGGAGCUAGCUGGAAUGCAUAGCUUGUUAGCACGAAACACAAAUCCAUCGUUAACGACAAACUUGUUCCACAUUCUUCCUUCUUUACAAUUCUGCAUUACAUCUUUAAAAUCAGCAUCAUGCACAUAUUGAUCUUUGAUGGUCCCCAAACCAAAUAUUUUGAAGUCAAGUUGUGAAAGCAUAGUAUAGCGACGAGACAAUGCAUCAGCAAUAACAUUUUCUUUUCCCUUCUUGUGUUUAAUGACAUAAGGGAAAGUCUCAAUAAAUUCAACCCAUUUAGCAUGUCUACGAUUCAGUUUAGCUUGACUUUUAAUAUGUUUCAAAGAUUCAUGAUCAGAAUGUAUAACAAAUUCUUUGGGCCAUAAAUAAUGUUGCCAUGUUUCUAAAGUCCGAACAAGAGCAUAUAAUUCUUUAUCAUAAGUAGAAUAAUUCAGACUAGGCCCACUCAAUUUUUCAGAAAAGUAUGCAACAGGUUUGCCAUUUCGUAAUAACAUACCUCCUAAUCCAAUUCCACUAGAAUCACAUUCAAUGAUGAGGACAUCAAUACAAUUGUUACACCCACAACCCCUGCUGCUAUACAUACUGGACCAAUUACUAGAGCUCGUGCACGCCAACUAAAUUACCAGGUACUUUUGUUUCUUGGUAAUGAUUCUAAUGUUCAUGAGAAUAUGAUGUUGCCUAAAUUGGAUACAUUUGUUUUGCUUACAAAUGAAGAGCCUAGCUUGGAGAAGGAUGAACAUUGGAGCAAGAACAAGCAUGGAGAUGAUGGCAUGCGCAAGGGGAACAAGAACGGAGUUACAAGUGAUGAUUUCAGGACUUUGAAGCCACCAUAAUGGGUGCAUGAAGCCUUGGACGAAAUAUACAAGAUGCCACUUCAUAAAUUUCGUCCCGAGGCUAUUUUAGGUGCUGCGUCACCUUAUUAUUGGGCCAGGCCCAUGUAAUUUCAAAAUACAUAUGUAUAGGCUAUUUUUAGAGUCCGUAUGUGUGGGGAAACAAGAGAUAGGAUUGAUUUCGGACCCCUCCACCAAGGGCCACGAAAUUCCCCCCUGUUCCUCCAUAUAUACAGCCCUUAGGGCAUCGUUUAGACUUUGGGUUUUGUUUAGAUUAAAAGUUCGCCAUAGCUGCAACUUCGCGUACUUCGUUUGUGUUCAACGACCAGACAAAGGCGUCACAGAACCCCACCUUGAUCAAUAAAGCUUUCAUCUUAUAUUCGCAAUAUCCAGAUUGCAAUCUUAGUUUCUUGCUUGUUCUUCGUUUGCUCGCAGGAAACAGACCCUCGUGGUCAGGUUGAUCGUGCUCCGGCGUGGUCAAUAACCUCUCGGAGUUGGUUUAGCGAUUGCUAAGGCGCGACGUCCUCGCACGUUCGUAGUCGGAUCGUCAAAGUCGACUUCCACCAAAGUGAUAUCCAUCAUCUCAUCGAAAGACGGGACACCUUUGCCUCUAUCAAGUGGUAUCAGAUUUCCAGGUUGCUCGGUGAGAUUUUACAGUUUUUCGUAGUUUAGAUCGAGUCUGUUCUUCAUACCUACAGUCCACGAAAAAGCCACAAAAAAAUUUAGGGUUAGUUCAUCAUAUCCGAACCAAUCUGAGCCUUUGCAUAAUCUUUUUAGGGUUUUGCUUUGUUGAAUUUGCGGUUGCAUCGUCGGUCUAGUUGCUGGUUUUAGAGUCUAGUCUUUUAGAGUUUCGAGUUCUGGUCAUAAGUUGUCAUGCCGCCGCCGCACCAUCAUCAUCGCCCCUGCCAUCUACCACCACCGCUCCGAAUCCGUAUCCAUAUACCACCACCAAUCCGUGUCCAUAUACCACCACCGAUCCAUAUCCAUAUACUACCACCGCUACCACCACCGCUGCCAUAUACCACCACCAUAUAUCUACCAGCAAUCCGAGUUCCUUGCUUAUUAGGUUUGUUUCCGAGAUCCAUCUAGUUUCCGAUUCGUGUUUCCUUGCCGGAGUAGGUUUCGAAAAAAAAACGCAUUUUUCCUUGCCGGAGUCGGGUAGCCACGCUCCGUUUAGGCCCAAAAUUUUUCGAAAACGCAUUUUUUGAAAAAAUUUCUGGCUAUCCUAUUUUUAGGUGUUUCUGAGUGUUUUGAGACAGGUGCCAUUAUAGGAAGUUUUUUUUGACCCGUUUCUAAUUUUUGGGUCCGGGCAGUCGAAAAAAAAAAUGGUCGAAAAAAAAAUUUCGUGCCCAUCCUGUCAGUUUGACCUAGGAAGAGUUUUGAGACACUCGCCAUUAUAGUGAUUUUUUGCAAAAAAAAAAGCAGCGCAAAAAAAAAGAGCGAAUUUUUUUUUCAGAGUGUGCUUUUCCCUUGUUUACGUGCCGCGCCGUGAUUUUGUUGGUGUUCUAGGCUCGCGUCUCUAGCACAGUCUAGCCUAGGACNNNNNNNNNNUUUUUUUUUUCAGAGUGUGCUUUUCCCUUGUUUACGUGCCGCGCCGUGAUUUUGUUGGUGUUCUAGGCUCGCGUCUCUAGCACAGUCUAGCCUAGGACCAGCACAGUAUCGUCGUUGAGCGUUUAUUCAACUUUGCAUCUCUGAAUUGAUUAUUGCUGACCCUUUUUGCUACCAUACUAUAAGCCUUCCCAGCUCCACAUACAUCUACGUCGUGUGUUUGACUCUCCCUGGUAAUCGCUCUAUCCAAGCUUUGAGAGUUUUUGACUACAACGGUUGCCGAUCACCGCCUGAUGCUGGGUAAGAACUGGUAAGAAUUUGAGAUUUGCUUGACGGGUUUGUGAUACACCACCACCACUUCUUAGUAGUAUGUAGGAUCAUAUUCUUGUGUGUUUCUAUUGCUGCUAACCAUGCCAGGAUCACAAGCCGACGAGAUUGACUGGGAGCACUUAUCGAACAAGGAGCUUCAUGAUAAGUUUCAGCAAAUGAUGACUGAACAGGUACAAGAUGUGCUGAACAAUUUUGAAGAGGCCAUGGAGAAGAUCACUGGCCUUGAGAAGGCGUUCGAAACAAAGCUCGAUAACAGAUUUAAUGAACUGCUUGCGCGUCUUCCACCACCGGCUGCACCUGUCGCACCUCUGCAACAACAACAACUACGCCCCCUUCCGAAUCAGUAUGGACGAGCACAGCGUGUUCCUAUUGAGCUAGGACAAAAUUCUGGUGCCGCUGUUACUGCUGUUGGUGCUUCUUUGGCUCCUGCUACUGCUCCUGCUGGUACCCAGGAGGAUGAUGAGUAUGCGGGCGAUUAUGAGGAUGAGGUUGAUCAAAAUCAGAUCUACGAGCAGCCACCAACACCACCACCAGCAGGUCGACCUCAGGUAUAUAUUCGUAAUGGUAGGCCUGCACCACCACCUCAGGUACGAGAUGAUGUCCAUAUUCCUAAACUGAAAUUGAAUAUUCCACCAUUUGAGGGUAGAUAUGUUCCUGAUAUAUAUCUUACUUGGGAGUUAGAAACUGAACAACGAUUUACAUGUUUACAAUAUCCUGAGGAGAGACGAGUUGCUGCUGCUGUUUGUGCUUUCACUAGUUUUGCAUGUGUAUGGUGGUCUGAACAUUGCAGAUUAUAUCCUAUUCCAACUACUUGGGCUGCUUUGAAAACUGCUAUGCGUACGCGUUGGGUUCCACCAUAUUAUCAACGUGAAUUGCUUCAAAAAUUGCAGUGUUUAAGACAAGGAAAAAAUUCUGUAGAAGAAUAUUAUCAGGAAUUACAAACUGGCAUGAUUCGAUGUGGUAUUGUUGAGGAGAAUGAAGCUAUGCUUGCACGUUUUUUGGGUGGAUUAAUAGAGAGAUUCAGACCAUUCUAGACUAUAAGGAGUAUACUAAUAUCACUCGUUUAUUCCAUCUUGCUUGUAAAGCUGAACGUGAAGUGCAGGAUCGACAAGCAUUGGCGCGAACUAACUUUUCUGCAGGCCGACCUUCCUCAUGGACGCCGCGUGCAUCUUCUACUUCAACUGCACCAGCACCUCAAUCAGGUGCCUCCUACAGUCGUGAUACAAGAAAACAGGAUUUCGUGCACUUUCCAACCCAAUUGGAAUCACCUUCAAAUUCGUCCGGAGCGUUGAGUUGUGGACGAAACAAUCUGAUGCUGCAGCAGAAUCCGAGUCAAACUACAAGUCCAAAGGUGUUACAUCACCUCCACUUGGGCCCAUUGGCCUUGUACGACCUAGAUUUAGUUUUAGGCUGCCUUGGGAUGUCCUCCCACCUCCUUGGCCGCCACCCCUUGCUCCCAUAUAAGUAGAUCCAUCUAGUAGCUUUUCCUUGGGAUUUGUUUAGUUAAAAGUUAGCCAUUGCAACUUCGUGUACUUCGUUUGUGUCUAACGACCAGACCAAGACCGCUUACGGAUCCCCGCCUUUAUCAAUACUUCAUCUAUAUUCGCAAUAUUCAGAUUGCUUUAUCAUAUUCUUGCUUGUUCUUCGAUUGCUUGCAGGAAUAGACCUUCGUGGUCAGGUUGAUUGUGCUUCGGCGUGUUCAAUAACCUCUCGGAGUUGUUUUAGCGAUUGCUAAGGCGCAACAUCGUGCACGUUUGUUGUCGGAUCGUCAAAGUCAUCUUCACCAAAUCGAUAGUUAUCAUCUCAUCGAAAGAUCGGGACACCCCGCCUCUAUUAAGUGGUAUCAGUUUUCAGGUUGCUCGGUGAGAAUUUCCAGUUUUCCUAGAUUAGAUUUAUUUUCUUACCUAUUGUCCAAGAAAAAGCCACAAAAAAGAGUUAGAUCUAUUCAUCCUUGGUCCAAGCCAGUCUGAGCCUUUGCAAUUUUCUAAUCAUUGCUUGCAUAGUUGAAUUAUCGGUUGCAUCGUCGUGUUAGUUGCUGGUCUUAGUGUCUAGUUCUUUUAGAGUUUCGAGUUUUGUUCACAUUAGUCACGCCGCCGCUGCAUCAUUAUCCCUUCCGCUGUCCACCAGCCCAUCCAUUAAUUUUCACCACGUGCUACACACUGUUCAUUGUCAUAAUCAUAGUUGAGGUCAUUCACAUCUUCGCCUGAUCCAAUCUGCAUCUUAUCUAGUUUGUCUUGGAAAGAGGGAGAAAAAAAAUAGAGGAAAAAAA